UACAGGGGGUGCAAGCGUUGCUCGGAAUUAUUGGGCGUAAAGCGCGCGUAGGCGGCUACCUAAGUCGGAUGUGAAAGCCCCUGGCUUAACUGGGGAAGUGCACCCGAAACUGAGUAGCUAGAGUGCGAAAGAGGGUCGCGGAAUUCCCGGUGUAGAGGUGAAAUUCGUAGAUAUCGGGAGGAACACCGGUGGCGAAGGCGGCGACCUGGGUCGACACUGACGCUGAGGCGCGAAAGCGUGGGGAGCAAACAGG
Molecule: ribosomal RNA, 253 nt
Filed under: uncultured bacterium
Lineage: Bacteria
Description: partial 16S ribosomal RNA
Rfam family: Bacterial small subunit ribosomal RNA
Source: RNAcentral